UUAUUUUGGUGUAAAGCACAUGAAUUUUUGGUAUUCAAGGAAGGAAACUAGAUUUCUUAGUUAAAU
RNAcentral lists this transfer RNA (66 nucleotides) under Grandidierella rubroantennata. RNAcentral describes it as "tRNA-Gln". Lineage: Eukaryota; Metazoa; Arthropoda; Malacostraca; Amphipoda; Corophiidae. The record is from RNAcentral.